This 774-nucleotide ribosomal RNA is filed under the name uncultured Neocallimastigales. Its description in RNAcentral is "partial large subunit ribosomal RNA". It matches the Rfam family "Eukaryotic large subunit ribosomal RNA", at positions 24 to 643 of the family's 3401-position model. Lineage: Eukaryota; Fungi; Neocallimastigomycota; Neocallimastigomycetes; Neocallimastigales. The record is from RNAcentral.
UAUCUCUGUAGAGUCUGCAUAUCAAUAAGCGGAGGAAAAGAAACUGACAAGGAUUCCCUUAGUAACGGCGAGUGAAGCGGGAAGAGCUCAAAUUUGAAAUCUUCAAGGUUUUACCUUGACGAAUUGUAGUUUAAAGAAGUGUUUUCUGUUGAAGUUUCGGUAAAAGUUCUUUGGAAUAGGACAUCAUAGAGGGUGAGAAUCCCGUAUUUGACCGUUAUUUUCAGCUGUGUGAUACACUUUCAAAGAGUCGGAUUGUUUGGGAAUGCAGUCCAAAAUGGGUGGUAAAUUUCAUCUAAAGCUAAAUAUUGGCGAGAGACCGACUAGCGAACAAGUACCGUGAGGGAAAGAUGAAAAGAACUUUGAAAAGAGAGUUAAACAGUACGUGAAAUUGUCAAAAGGGAAGCGUUUGACACCAGUGUUGUUUUCUCGAAAAUCAAUUAAAAAUGGCUUGAUUUUGUGUUGUAUUGACCUUAAAAGCUUUCUUCACUUUUUUCAUGUCUUUUUUAAUGCACUUUUCGUUUAACAAGUCAACAUCAGUUUCUUUUGUUGUAAAAAGGUCAUUGGAAGGUGGCUUUCUUUUCGGAGAAAGUGCUUAUAGCCUUUGACUCCUGCAAUCGGAGAGACUGAGGUCUGCAGCGUAGAUCCUUCUGGAUUAGAUUCAUUUGUGCUAAGUUACAACCGUCUAUAGACAACUUGUUGACUAUAUUCGAUCCUGUAGCUUACUCGCUUAUGUAAUUUUACCUACGCUUAGGAUGUUGACUGAUAUGUAGUCGU